Prionailurus viverrinus (fishing cat) is the source of this 401-nucleotide long non-coding RNA. RefSeq lists it as uncharacterized. Lineage: Eukaryota; Metazoa; Chordata; Mammalia; Carnivora; Felidae. The record is from RefSeq and is a predicted model, not a curated record. The transcript is spliced from 3 exons.
CAUGGAAGCUUUUUGUGUGUCUCGCAUCCAUGAAAUACAGCCAGACCAACACUGAACCAUCCUACACAACUAGCAAACUGAUUGGAGGAUCAACACAACAAUCUGCACAACCUGAACCACAGAAUUCAGCAGGUACGCGACAUGAAGAGCUGAACUUGGGGAGCAAGAAGCCACGAAGGAAUGCAAGCAUAGAACCAGGCAGAUGAACAGGUAUUGAUCAAAUAGAAGAAUGAAAACUCCAACAGUGGCCACUCAAUUAAAGCUCACUUCUACAGAGGGCAGAUCUGUCCUUUACUGACACACACUAGUGCAGUGUAGACUGGAUUCCACUUAUUUGUUUAGCAUCUCCCUACUGGACUAGACUGAAAAAUGCUCCUGCCAUUUGAGAGCUGAGUGAUGGG